AAAACAGUUCUGAGAAAAAGAAAAUGAACCUUACAUUACAUGUAGCUUCUUGUGUACUUCAGGUAUCUUGUACAUGAUGGAAGUGUGGGGUUGUAUUUCUCAAAUUCAUUCUGAAAAACCUAAUCUGGUUUUCCAUUUCAGUUCUUCUUACAUAAGCUGCCUACUCUAAACAACAUUAGUCAGAAUAUUCAUAGGAUCUGGGUUCCUGAUGGGAAGUUCCCAUUAACACCAUUUUGAGAGCAGUUGGCCCUAUGCAAAGCACUUUAACCCCUUGUUUGGAAUGUGUCUGAAUUAUGAGCAUGCAGUUGAACUCCUAGCUGUGUGUUAGUCUGGAAGUACUGGAUAUUUUAGAUGUGUUUGAUACAGAAUAAUUUCUUUGAGCAAAGUUCAUAAAAUAUUUAAAUGUCAUGUUUAGCCACUUCUAUAUUUUUGUUUAAUUAGUUAUUUCACAUAAAAUUAAUAUGCUUUUGUUGAUACCNGGAGCAACUCUCUUACUCUUCCUAUUCCGUCAGGGUCUGAUGUAUGUACAGCCACUAGUGUUGAGUCAGUAUCUCCAGUUCAGAAUAACAGAACUUUUAAAGAGGAUGACAGGCAAACUGCAGAGGUAAGUGUUUCAUAUGGUGUUCCACUAAAUCUGUCUGUUUUUUUCUGAGCACAUAUACAAGUUAUUUAUGUGACUAAAUAAACUAAGAACUGUUUGCUAAAUGAACAGAAAUGCAAUACUCAAUUAAGGGAAAAAAAGCUUAACUAAAAAAAUGCUUAACUAAGAAACUGCAAAGCACCAGCAAACAUAUUGGAGGAAAACAGGCUGCAGCUGUGCUCUGCAUCCUACUGUUCACAGUUUUGUUCAUGCUUUAUCUUAAUUAAAAUCAGUAUGCUGAGUAACUUUAAUUCUAAAGUUAAAAUACCCACUUCAGCUACUUCAGUAUAUGCUUCUGUUUCAGAUGGCUGAACUCUUCUAGACCUAUUUAGUUGAGUGGAAGAAGUUACCAUAUUUAGUAUUGGAUAUUGCUGAUAGGAUGUUACAACUUCAUGUUGCUAUUUGUUGAGCAGUUUAUGUGAGUGCUUUCUAAUUUGCUUCAGGUAGCAUCACAUGGCUCUUUGAAAAGAUUUUGUCAUGAGUGGAUUAGACAAUGCUUUAAAUACGUAACAGCAGAGUUUUGGAGUAGUAACUACAAAGGGAAAAAGUAGCAACAUACGUGGGCCAGACCCCCCAAAUGGAAUGUGUUUCUUGCCUUAAAUUACUGACACAGGUGCUCUUAGCAAAAGUGCAGAUUCUGUACGAAAGUAGAGAAGGAAUUUUGUCAGUUCUAAUGGAGACUGCAACCAAGUUAUAACCUGUGGUGAUAUAUGCAGAGUAAGAUUCUAUAUAGUUUGCAUGCAUAUAUUCUAUACAUCUGCCUCAGUUGUCUCUGUAUCUUACUGUAUCACAGUGAGAAUAGGAUGACUAACAUACCUUAACCAUACUUCCAUAGCCCUAAAACCUGUAAUACUCUUAUAUUUGGCUGGUAGGACUUCUGCUGUUAAAGGUGCAAGACAAUGAAGUCCUGUGCACACAGUAAAGUGGUGCAAAUUAUUUAUCUCAAGUAACAGUAGAAUAGAAGAAAGGUUUGGUAUGGAUUGGUGAGCAGAGUAAUCAAGUACAUUUUAAUGAGAUUUUUCAGCAGUAUUGUAUAGAAUUAAACACACCACUAGAAAUGGAAUUGACAGGAACAUGGAGGUGUGACAA
Long non-coding RNA from Pavo cristatus (Indian peafowl), 1729 nucleotides. NCBI's taxonomy places the organism in Eukaryota, Metazoa, Chordata, Aves, Galliformes, Phasianidae. The record is from Ensembl.